RNAcentral lists this ribosomal RNA (277 nucleotides) under uncultured bacterium. Its description in RNAcentral is "partial 16S ribosomal RNA". It matches the Rfam family "Bacterial small subunit ribosomal RNA", at positions 524 to 796 of the family's 1533-position model. The record is from RNAcentral.
UACGGAGGGUGCAAGCGUUAAUCGGAAUUACUGGGCGUAAAGCGCGCGUAGGCGGCUUGGUCAGUGAGGUGUGAAAGCCCUGGGCUCAACCUGGGAACUGCAUCUCAUACUGCCAGGCUAGAGUAUGAUAGAGGGAAGUGGAAUUCCAGGUGUAGCGGUGAAAUGCGUAGAUAUCUGGAGGAACAUCAGUGGCGAAGGCGACUUCCUGGAUCAAUACUGACGCUGAGGUGCGAAAAGCGUGGGGGAGCAAAACAGGAUUAGAUACCCCGGGUAGUCC